AUACUUGCCUGAUUGGGAAGAGACCAUCAUUGUGAAGGUGGUUUUGCCAGGAUGAGGCUUAGCCAUUAUAUUCUAGAUGUUCUGACCUCUGUGAUGUCUCCAAAUGUGGUAAACUCAACUAUAUAAUCUAUGCUAGCAGAUGACUGUGUUCAUCCUGUCCCCUG
Molecule: small nuclear RNA, 164 nt
Organism: Otolemur garnettii (small-eared galago)
Lineage: Eukaryota; Metazoa; Chordata; Mammalia; Primates; Galagidae
Gene: U1
Rfam family: U1 spliceosomal RNA
About the family: U1 is a small nuclear RNA (snRNA) component of the spliceosome (involved in pre-mRNA splicing). Its 5' end forms complementary base pairs with the 5' splice junction, thus defining the 5' donor site of an intron.
Source: Ensembl